CCUACGGGAGGCAGCAGUGAGGAAUAUUGGUCAAUGGGCGCGAGCCUGAACCAGCCAAGUCGCGUGAGGGAUGACGGCCCUACGGGUUGUAAACCUCUUUUGCCGGGGAGCAACGGGCGCCACGUGUGGCGCCCCUGAGAGUACCCGGAGAAAAACCAUCGGCUAACUCCGUGCCAGCAGCCGCGGUAAUACGGAGGAUGCGAGCGUUCUCCGGAUUUAUUGGGUUUAAAGGGUGCGUAGGCGGCUCGUUAAGUCAGUGGUCAAAUUGAGGGGCUCAACCCCUGCCCGCCAGUGAAACUGGCGCUCUUGAGUGGAAGGGAGGUAUGCGGAAUGCGGGGUGUAGCGGUGAAAUGCAUAGAUAUCACGCAGAACCCCGAUUGCGAAGGCAGCAUGCCGGCUUCCGACUGACGCUGAAGCACGAAAGCGUGGGGAUCGAACAGGAUUAGAUACCCCUGUAGUC
This 460-nucleotide ribosomal RNA is filed under the name uncultured bacterium. Its description in RNAcentral is "partial 16S ribosomal RNA". It matches the Rfam family "Bacterial small subunit ribosomal RNA", at positions 338 to 795 of the family's 1533-position model. The record is from RNAcentral.